Bactrocera oleae (olive fruit fly) is the source of this 1559-nucleotide non-coding RNA. Lineage: Eukaryota; Metazoa; Arthropoda; Insecta; Diptera; Tephritidae. The record is from RefSeq and is a predicted model, not a curated record.
UAAGAAGGCAUAUGGAUUCAUUGACUUUAAAAAAGUGUAAAAAUAUUAAUUCAAUAUUUUUCGUAAUAAAAAUUUACAGCAUUUACUGGUUUCUAUAACACAGCAGCGUAUUUAUUUGUUACUACGCGACGAAAUAGCUUUCAGCCAUAAUCUCAGCACAACAAAUUAAAAUUCAUAAGCACACGGCCGCGGAAGUCACUCCGAAUAAGGAAAUUGUGAGAAAUAUGUGUUUGAGCAAUGCAAACUUUCAGUCUCAGUCUGUCUCGUGCUGGAUUCUAUAAAUGGCAUUGCACGGCAUAAUCUAGUGCCCGCAUAUGAUCAGGCCUGUACACAGCGUAAUCUAUGUGUGUGUGUGUGUCAUUCAAAAGUUCCCAAUCAACUGACGUGUUGUCGGCUAUUUUUAAAAGCGAUUCUCAAGAAUUCCGUUGAAAUUCAUUGAUGACAAUAAACGAACAGCUGGCAGGCAACAACAACAGAAAAAUUAAUCAAAGAGGAAAACACAAAAGCAAACAAAUUAAACGGAAAAGAAAGCGGAAUAAUAGAAACAACAAGUGAAACAAGCAAAUCGAAAUCCAACACACACACUCAUAUAUCCACAUAUACUAUUUUUCAUUCACAAAAACCGUGUAAUUCUUGAAAGCUUACACACGAACAACUGAAUGUGCGAAUUCGAUAAACAAAAUUGUUCAAUCGAGGUGACUGACGCACACACACAUGAGCACGGCUGCAAUGCGAACGAGUGUAGUGUAGGCCGAGUUAGUGCGAGAAUUGCCGUUAUUUCCGGUUUUUGUUGCUACUCUUGCCGCUGUUGCUUCUGAUAUUUUUAUGGCAGUUCGCACUUGCUCUGCCACAAAUGGGCACAUGAAUAAUGAAAACAAGAAAUGACAAUGUCAAUGCCUCUAAUGGCAACCAAUUUAACUCGUGCACUAUUAAAACACACGCGCACACACUGCUUGUGCUGGUGGUAAUGUGCCGAACGUGCAUGAACAAUUCAUAAAUUUGUUUAGUUUAAAGAUUCAUGUGUGACCUAAAUGUAGUGACGCACAGCAACAAGUCGACAAGUUCCAUCUGAUGCGUGAAAGCAUAGUUAUGUAUGUAUAGAUGCAUGUUUGAAUUUAUAAAUCAUAUUAGGAAGCAGUUGUGGCGAAUAAACAUGUUUGUGCAUUACUCCAAACUUCCGGUUUGUUUUCAAGAGACAACAUUCCUGAUUGUUCACGACAUUCCUUGUAUUUUAAUAUCUUUAUUUUCUUUGUUGCACUUGUGCUUAAUAUUUUAGUUUAUUGCUCUGAUUUUAUUGUUGUUUUUACUUUAAAUUAUCCCCUCAAGUAGCUUGCAAUUGCUGAACGGCUGAGAGUAUAUAACUGCACCGACUUCCUCCUCGGAUCAUUGUCGAUAAACCAGCGCAGAUGGCAGAUGAAUAGUUUGCCCAUAUCUUCGAGUAAAAAAUACAUAAAUAUUCAUACAGGGAAAACACACAAUUUAGACGAAAAUGGAAAUUAUAAUAACCUGCCAAAUGACUUUUUUAAAACAUUAAACAUAAACGCUUAUAAAAAGAUCUA